AUUAAUAGCAUCAGUGGUGUC
Molecule: non-coding RNA, 21 nt
Filed under: Arabidopsis thaliana (thale cress)
Lineage: Eukaryota; Viridiplantae; Streptophyta; Magnoliopsida; Brassicales; Brassicaceae
Source: RNAcentral